RNAcentral lists this unclassified non-coding RNA (277 nucleotides) under Hevea brasiliensis (rubber tree). Lineage: Eukaryota; Viridiplantae; Streptophyta; Magnoliopsida; Malpighiales; Euphorbiaceae. The record is from RNAcentral.
CGAAUGCCACCAAAUCGGUUUUACCCGUGCCGUUCUCUAGCGGGUCGGCUCUGGAGAAACUGUGUGAGUGGGGCGUAUAUAGCGACUUGAUUGAGAUAGACGCGGGUCAUGAUUUUAAUUCGGCUUGGGCGGAUAUAAACCGAGCUUAUCGGAUAUUGAGACCCGGUGGAGUAAUUUUUGGGCACGAUUAUUUCACCGGUGCUGAUAAUAGAGGCGUAAGAAGAGCAGUUAACUUGUUUGCUCAAAUGAAUGGGCUUCAAAUUCAAACGGAUGGCCA